ACUUCCAAGCGGCAAGCUUUCACGAGCGUCUUCGCGUCGGAGACGAAGACUGCUGGUUUCGUCGCCACUCCUGGUUUCUUGUCUUCGGUAAUCCAAGUAAAACUCUUUUUUUUAUCAAUUUUACAUUAUACUUUAUGUAUUUCCAUUUGUAAUUAAACAGAAUAAUCAACUGGAUGUUAGUAGUCCUUGUAAUUUGGGGUUUAUUGAUUAUUGAUUGGGAAAUUUUGGCAUUCUCGCGGGUACUUUGAUUAUGUAUUGUCCUAUAUAUGAGAAGUUUUGAUAAUCAUACAUGGGCUGAAUGAACUACUUUCACGAGGUAACUUUGAGGUUUAUGCAAUGGAGUGGAUAUGAUUUCAAGACAUUGUUUGCUGUUAAGAACUAUAGGUGUUUCGAUUUAUAGUUCAUAAUCAGAAUCACUGUUCUGCCAUGUUAAGAACUAAAAAUGGGAAUAUAUGUAUGUUUCCCAUGGGGAUAUGUGUAUGUUUCCCACUGAAAAUUAUAGGAGAUGAGACCUUUAUUGAAACGAGAAGCACCCUUUAAGAACUUGUUAAAAUGGGAAAUGCAAUUUUUGAUCUUACAAGACUAAUAUUCAUGCAUUUGUUGCUACCUUGACUUUCAGGUUUGUAAUCUUGCAUGGAGUAAGCAUGUGAAUGAGAUAGUUAGCACUUAUGGAUGUUCCGAAAAUCAAAUGGUCUGGAAGUAUCCAUCCAUGUCAAAGGUUCAGCUAGGAUGAACUCAAGUCUGAUGAGACUCACUAGCAUCAUGUAAAGUUACAGAGGUUUUCGGUCAUUAAGAUAAAUACAGAUUCGAGGAGACUAUAGUGUGCAAUUUUUUUUCUUUUCGCUUUUGGAUGUUUCAAUAUUUGUAGUGUGUAAUGUGUAUCACAGAACCAUGAAGAGAUUUGAAUAUACAUCUUUUACAUUUACCUGUUGCGCUUCAAACUUUUUUUUAUAAGUUUCACCAGUUCAUUUGUGUUUUUUGAAAGCACGGGAAAUAUGUGCCUUCUCUUGAAUGUACCUGAUUCUAUUCUAAAAAUGCACAGUUCAGUAAAUAUGAACUAGAUGAACUAUAGCUCAAAUCUUUAUGUCUAUGAGGUAGCUUUGAUAUUAAAAAGUCAAAACCAUGAUACAAACCAUGCAUUGAAAUAGUAGGCAAGCUUAAUAAACAAACAAACCAUGAUCAGUUUGCAGGUCCUUUUUUUCUGAAAUUUUUUGCUGAGUUUACAUUCUUCAUAGGUAAACGAUAAGAAAAGAUACAAAUUGCCGUGAAAUAGGCUUCAAAAUUUCUGUUCAUUACACUUAGAGUAUAUCUGGACAUAAUAUAUAUCGAGUCUUAUGGUAAAUAAUAUGGCAUAUCUCUUGAACCCUGCUGCUGCUUAGUCAUUGAAUGUAAAUCCUACAUUGUAUAUUAGUCAGAGAUAAAUUAACUUAAAAAAUGAAACGUGAUAGAAAAAGGUUAAACAAAUUAUCCAAACCUGGCUUGGUUGAGGAUAUGAUCCAAAUUGGUGGUUUGGGGCAGAUGUGCUUGCAGAUGUAUGCUGUGAUCAUAAUAUAUGAUUGGAACUUUUAAAUUUAGAAAACUCUAAAAGAAGAAGCAAUUAUAAUUGAAAAUAUCAGAUCAAUCAAUACCUGACUCAAAAGCAUGCUAGUAAAAAAAGAAUUUGGUUGAUAGAAUGCUGUAGAAUCAGAUCCUUGCAAUAAAUAAGAAUCAUUCAGUGUGUUAAAUGAAGUUGAAUCAUAUGGUAUUUGAAUCUAGCUCAUUAUCUGAUUUGAUGGAGGCAAAAAUCCUUGAGUAUUGAUUGCUGACGAGUUCAUAGUUGGAUAAAACUACAUAAUAUUGAUUGAAAAAUUAGUUUUAGGAUACUAACAUGAAAUAAAAAAAGAAGUGAUUUGAGCAGACUUAUAACAACAAACCUAAGUACUCAUCAGCCGAGGAAAUGGGUUUGAAGAAUUUGGAUUAUAUUGUGCAUGAUAUGCGGAAUAUGAUUUCAAAACCUACAAAAAUACGGUAAUAAAUAAAUUAUUUUCAUGAACUACUAAGAUUAAAUGUUACUAGUAACUCAUCCCAUUUAGACUGAAAUUCUUCCACUGUCUCACAAGCAUAAAGACACUUAUUGAACAUCUUCUUAAAGUUAGGGAUUCCUAAGUAGCUUGCUAUAUUUCUUGUUGCAUUCAGCGAUAUAUGCCACUAGCAUAAACGGUGACAAGUAUCAGGAAAAACAUCUCUAAUGCCAUUUGCCAUUGCCUGACAUUGAUCAGUAUAAAUGGUCCUUGGUGGUUGAUUUCCCAUUGACUCUAAAAAUGUUUCAAACAACCUUUCAAAUGAAGAGUUGUCUCAUCCAACAGAGAAGCACAUCCAAACAAAACAUUUUUCCAAUGAUUACUAAAACCUCACAAAAGACACUCUAACUUCCAAGGUACUUGUAGGAAAUCAAAAUCAAGUCUUCAUUAGCAUGAGAAGCUAAUAUGUCACAUCCCGGUUCUUAAGUCAAUUUGCGGUUAUUUACUUUUGGGUUACUUUGGCUUUUACCGUUUUGAGUAACCGUUUACUAUUUAAGGCUCCAAAAGUUGACUUUUUCUUUCAUCUAAAAUUUGGAAAGACUUUCUUCAUGAAAGUCGUAGAGGACGUUAAGCGGAGUUCGUAGACGCGUGGCACGCUUAAAUAGGAGUUCGUAUGAAUAAGUUAUGGUAUAAAAACAAAAGUUACUAUUUUGGUUGGGGGUAUAAAAAUGGAAACUUACCGGAUGGGUAAGGUAAGAAAUCAGUUUCACCCCCCUCACUCUCUCUUCUCUCUCUCGCGCCUCUCCUCCGACCGGCAACUUCAUCACCUCCAUCCGCCGCCGUCCGGCCGAGCUAGGUGGCGUGCUUGGUAUCGAUUUGAAGCUUGGAGCAUCCUCUACAAGUCUAGGUAGGUGGCAGCCGGUAUCGCGCCGCCGUGAAGGAGAAAUCAUGCCGGAAAGCCGCGACUGUGCGUGGUGGGGUUUUUGCCGGAAAAUCUCUUUUCCAGCCACCAUAGCCAGAGUUGUUGGUCUCAACUUGAAGCUCUCCCUCCCAGUAGCAAAACCCUAAAAGGAUUCAUCCUAACUUGAGCUAGGUAAGGAGAAUCGAAGGUUUGAAUCUUCUAGGGUUCUUGAUUGUGUUUUUGUUCGAUUGACAUGUUUAAACUUGAAAUUGGACUUAGUGAUAGUUAUGAAAGUUGUUUGGGAUGUUGAGAGGAAGAUGUUGUUAAAAUUUGGUAGCCAUCGGGGGUCACCGGAGUUGGCCGCCGGCCGCCGCUGCCGGUGGAGCAGACUGCGGCGCCGCCGCUGUAAGUGGGCUUUUCAGGGUUUUAAAUGUGUUAUGUUAAGGGGAGUUUAAUGAUGUGAAGUUUGGAAUUUUUGGUGGAGUUUUGAUAAGGUUUGGGAUUUUUAAAAGAUUAAGGAUUUUGCCCGUUAUUGAAUAAAAAUCCGGCCGUUGGAUUUCCUUGGUAUUUUUUUGUAGAAUGUUAAAAUUGAUGAAUUAAGGUUGUGGUGGAGUUUGGUGCGAAUCCGGCGAGUUUAACCCUAUUAAGAGUAGUGGGUUAAACGGAAGAGAGUUGGAUGUUUUUAUUCAUGUAUUUAUUUUCUGGAAUUGAAGUUUGAUUCUAAGCAUGGUUGUUGUGCUAGGAUGCGAAGGGAACCUCGCUUGAGUGGCUAUGCGGUUAUCGUCGGGCUUAUGCCUAAAGUUGUGAGUGAACAUUUUGGUUUAAUUAAAUAUGCAUGCAAGAUUUUAUAAAUUAUCAUUUUAUUUUUCCGAGCAUAUAUUAUAAUUUUCGGCUCAUGAGAUGAUCUUUAAAAUUAUUUGAGUGUGAUGCAUUGAUUAACGUUUGGUCAUGAUUUAUGGAUUUAAGCUCGGAUUAUUAAUUUGAUAUCUGAGUUUGGUUAUUUUAUAAGUUUCGGAUUUCAUUGUGAUUGAUUUAAUGGUGACUUUGGGAUUAAUAAAUGAUUACCGAAAAUGGGAUUUUCGGUAGUUCUCCAUCAUAAUUUAAUUGUUUAUUUGAGGCAUAAUGAUUUUGACUUGGAGAAUAUUUUAGCGAGUAUUUUCGAGUGAAGAUAUUGUUAUUUAUGAUUUAUAUUUGAUAUUGAAAUCUCGCUUAUAAUAUGGUUUUGAAAAUAUUUUGACGUGUGAGACACGUCAUUGAGUUUAGUAUAAUUUCUUAUGAUGAUUUUCAAAUACGGUUAGGAACCGUACCAUUCAUUUGAUAUUGGGGAAGUUUAAUGGAUUUAAGUGACUUCGUAUGAUUUUAAUCACCAUAAUAUAGGGUCGCUUUUAUAUUGAUUAUUGCUAGCUAACCUUAUUAGCGGUCCUCAUCAUAUGUAAGUCGCUAUUAUAGUCUUAUUAGCGGUCCUCUUCAUAUGUGAGUAGAGCGCUCAGCGUGGAAUGCUGUUAUAGCUUGGGAGGCAACCGAUCGGUAUUUAUAUUUAUUAGUUAGCUAGCUUUAUUAGCGGUCCUCAUUAUAUGUGAGUUGAGCACUUAGCGUGGGACGCUAUUAUAGCCUUAUUUAGUGGUCCUCAUCAUAUGUGAGUUGAGCGCUUAGCGUGGGACGCUAUUUUAGCUUGGGAGGCAUCGACCCGAGCCUGGGAGGCUCUUUUUUUCGUGGUGAUGACUCUUCCCCUUAUUUUAGCUUGGGAGGCAUCGACCCGAGCCUGGGAGGCUCUUUUUUUCGUGGUGAUAACUCUUCCCCUUAUUUUAUUCUUCUCAGUAAUAUAAUUGAUUAACCAGCGGGGCCGGUUUAUCUUCUCGUAUGAGAUUUUUGUUUUAAUUAACCAACGGGGCUGGUUUGUCCUUUAUUAAAUGAUUUUGGAUUUAAAGUUUUAAGGACGUUUAAGUUGCAUGCUGUUAAGUUUUAAAAGUUGAAAAGUGGGAAAGUAUAUAAGUUUUAUAAUUGUUAAGUUAUUGAAUUUAUUUUUCGUCCACUCACUCUAACGUUUUUAAAUUACUUUCCCCUGGGCCCUUUGGUUUAUAAAUGCCCAGUUUGCAGGCUAAGUUAAUUGAGGUCGAGCGUACAUGGAGUCGAGGCAUAGUCAGAGGCUGCUUCCGCUUAAUCUUUAUUUAUUGUUAUUCUUUCAUUACUAGAUAUGCUCUGAUAACCUGUUAGUGAAAAAAUAAUGUCUUUGUUGUUGGUUGUGGAAUUCCUGAAAUUUAGUAUUUAAUAUAUUGGGAGAUGUGUUAAACUUGGGGAGCAGGAAGGCUCCAGGAGUUGAGGAUGGAGGUUUGAUUAUAGAAGUGUUAAGUUUGAUUUUUUUUUUUUCAGGAAAAGGUUGUCCAUUUUUAAGGAAGGUUAUGCCGAAUUUUCGGUAAAUUUUCCUUGAAGGUGGUCCCCGCAAGAUUUACUUCGGAUUUCUGGGUGAAAUUCGAGGUGGGUCCUGACAUAAUAAACCAAACUCAUUUGGACACUAAGGGACAAUAAUUGAGCCUCCAUUGCUAUUUCAGCUUACCAAUCUCACUCAAGUAGCUAGCCUUGACACAAUAAUUCCUAACUCCCACAGUUCUUAACCAUAGUGUUCUGUAUUCAACUUUGUUCUCAACCAUAAUGAGAACAUAAACCCAAUUCGUUUUGGAAUCUCAACCCUAAAGAAUACCAUUUUUAACACACCUUUGAUUCUUUCAAAAACAGCAAGAAUUUCAAUGAAAACAUUUCCUCAAACACUAACAUAUGUAUAUAUCAAACUGAUUCAAUACUAAUAUAUAUUGUAUGUAUAUAUAAAUUUCCUCUAAAUCCCGGAUUACCGAAGAUAAGAAACCAGGAGUGGCGACGAAACCAGCAUUCUUCAUCUCCGACGCGAAGACCCUCGUGAAAGCUUGCCGUCUGGAAGUGUCCUCCUCUCAGGCUGAGUUGCGUUACGCUUCGUGGCCACCGAAUCAGAGAGUGACUCUGAGAGGCGAUGGAGGAAAAGACGAAGAGGAGGAGCUCAAUUUGGUGACAUCGACAUCAGAGAGAAGGAGAGAAGGGGGCGGGGUGGGAGACAUGGGCUGAUUAUGUUUUUAGGUUAGAGGGUGUUUCAGUUCUAAACAAAGAGAAAACGGAGACGUUAAACUAAACUCACGAUCCUGUCAAUUUUUCAGCUGGACACGUGUCGUGUUUUUAGUGGUUGGGGACACCAAAUCAGCUUGCCAGCUGAUAUUCCGACCACAGCAAAUAAUUUCUCCUUCCUUGAAGCAUAUGCUGAAUAUGGUUCCAACAAAAUCAUAAUUUAAAAUUUUGACAGAUUUCUCUGUUUAUCAAAUUAUGUUUUGAUGGAUUUCAAAGUCGUUGUUGGCUUUGCUAUAGAACCGAAAGAAAGAAUAUAUAUGGUCGAAUCAUUAUUGUUCAGUCUCAAGAUGUUAAAUCAUUUUUGCAGGACUAAUCACGUCCUGGAUCUAAUGC
This 6384-nucleotide long non-coding RNA is filed under the name Fragaria vesca (wild strawberry). RNAcentral's name for it is "long non-coding RNA (FVES_LNC000993)". Lineage: Eukaryota; Viridiplantae; Streptophyta; Magnoliopsida; Rosales; Rosaceae. The record is from RNAcentral.